This 351-nucleotide unclassified non-coding RNA is filed under the name soil metagenome. Its description in RNAcentral is "partial contains 5.8S ribosomal RNA, internal transcribed spacer 2, and large subunit ribosomal RNA". The stretch from base 1 to 120 matches the Rfam family "5.8S ribosomal RNA", at positions 35 to 154 of the family's 154-position model. The record is from RNAcentral.
GAUGAAGAACGUAGCGAAAUGCGAUAAGUAAUGUGAAUUGCAGAAUUCAGUGAAUCAUCGAAUCUUUGAACGCACAUUGCGCCCUCUGGUAUUCCAGAGGGCAUGCCUGUUCGAGCGUCAUUUCAACCCUCAAGCCCAGCUUGGUGUUGGGGCAUUGCCUUUUCCCUCCGGGGAGAGGGCAAGCCCUGAAAUUCAGUGGCGAGCUCGCCAGGACUCCGAGCGUAGUAGUAAAACCCUCGCUUUGGACUGUUCUGGCGCGGCCCUGCCGUAAAACCCCCCCAACUUCUGAAAAUUUGACCUCGGAUCAGGUAGGAAUACCCGCUGAACUUAAGCAUAUCAAUAAGCGGAGGA